AGUGGCGGACGGGUGAGUAACGCGUAGGAACGUGUCCAGAGGUGGGGGACAACCCCGGGAAACUGGGGCUAAUACCGCAUAUGUCCUGAGGGACAAAGCCGUGAGGCGCCUUUGGAGCGGCCUGCGUCCGAUUAGGUUGUUGGUGGGGUAAUGGCCUACCAAGCCUGCGAUCGGUAGCUGGUCUGAGAGGAUGAUCAGCCACACUGAGACUGAGACACGGCCCAGACUCCUACGGGAGGCAGCAGUGGGGAAUAUUGGACAAUGGGCGCAAGCCUGAUCCAGCAAUGCCGCGUGGGUGAAGAAGGUCUUCGGAUCGUAAAGCCCUUUCGACAGGGACGAUGAUGACGGUACCUGUAGAAGAAGCCCCGGCUAACUUCGUGCCAGCAGCCGCGGUAAUACGAAGGGGGCUAGCGUUACUCGGAAUUACUGGGCGUAAAGGGCGCGUAGGCGGCUUGGUCAGUCAGGCGUGAAAUUCCUGGGCUUAACCUGGGGACUGCGCUUGAUACGGCCGGGCUUGAGGCCGAGAGAGGGUGGUGGAAUUCCCAGUGUAGAGGUGAAAUUCGUAGAUAUUGGGAAGAACACCGGUGGCGAAGGCGACCACCUGGCUCGGUACUGACGCUGAGGCGCGACAGCGUGGGGAGCAAACAGGAUUAGAUACCCUGGUAGUCCACGCCGUAAACGAUGUGUGCUGGAUGUUG
This 698-nucleotide ribosomal RNA is filed under the name uncultured Roseomonas sp. Its description in RNAcentral is "bacterial SSU rRNA". It matches the Rfam family "Bacterial small subunit ribosomal RNA", at positions 94 to 825 of the family's 1533-position model. The record is from RNAcentral. Lineage: Bacteria; Pseudomonadati; Pseudomonadota; Alphaproteobacteria; Acetobacterales; Roseomonadaceae.